This 43-nucleotide transfer RNA is filed under the name Neostrearia fleckeri. RNAcentral's name for it is "partial tRNA-Phe". It matches the Rfam family "tRNA", at positions 1 to 42 of the family's 71-position model. From Rfam's summary of the family: Transfer RNA (tRNA) molecules are approximately 80 nucleotides in length. Their secondary structure includes four short double-helical elements and three loops (D, anti-codon, and T loops). Lineage: Eukaryota; Viridiplantae; Streptophyta; Magnoliopsida; Saxifragales; Hamamelidaceae. The record is from RNAcentral.
GUCGGGAUAGCUCAGCUGGUAGAGCAGAGGACUGAAAUUCCUC